Molecule: ribosomal RNA, 253 nt
Filed under: uncultured bacterium
Lineage: Bacteria
Description: partial 16S ribosomal RNA
Rfam family: Bacterial small subunit ribosomal RNA
Source: RNAcentral
UACGAAGGGUGCAAGCGUUACUCGGAAUUACUGGGCGUAAAGCGUGCGUAGGUGGUUCGUUAAGUCUGUCGUGAAAGCCCCGGGCUCAACCUGGGAAUGGCGAUGGAUACUGGCGGGCUAGAGUGCGGUAGAGGGGGGUGGAAUUCCUGGUGUAGCGGUGGAAUGCGCAGAUAUCAGGAGGGACACCGAUAGCGAAGGCAGCUCGCUGGGACGGUACUGACGCUGAGGCGCGAAAGCGUGGGGAGCGAACGGG